Molecule: long non-coding RNA, 1013 nt
Filed under: Homo sapiens (human)
Lineage: Eukaryota; Metazoa; Chordata; Mammalia; Primates; Hominidae
Description: HSALNT0059082
Source: RNAcentral
GCAAGACCCCUCUUCUGGAAUGGGGCCUUAUGAUGUACUUUCAGAAGAAUUUUUUUAUGACCAUGCUUGAGAGGAGAAAGAUGGGAGAAGGUCAGAGGAGUGACCGCCAAAGAAGAAUGAGGAUGAGAAGGGAAAAUAAAGACUCUCUUACUCUGGAGGUGCAGAGUUUUCUUCAAGACAUUAGGUGUAAGGCUAUGGACAGAAUAACUAUAAACCACCGUCUCAUGCGCAUCCUUGUCUAUGAAAUGGGGUUCAUAACGCCACCUUCGUGAGGAUAAAAUGAGGUUCAUAUUAAUAAGGAGAAGGUCUCCCCGCAGCUCCUCUGGACCGAGCCACACCUCUGCCUGGGAAUCCUGGGCUGGGGCUGCAGAAGCCCGCUGCGCGCCUCCUGGUUUCUAUGGAGACCCUGCUUGAUGUCAAUGGCGGCUCCGGAGCGCAGGGAAACCUAAGCGUUUGUAUUUAAAUGAGGGAAAGUGGGGGAAGGGGAAGUAAAAGAGGAAGGGAACAGAAGAGAGGAUGGUAGAGGUGAGCGGGCGGGUGUUGAACUCUGGGGACUAGAAAAAUCCAGCUGCGUUACUCAGUCAUCUCAUGCUCGCGGAGAAAUCAGAGGAAGCAGCAGCGGGCAGAGGGGUGUUUAUUUCUUGCGUGAGAAAUAUCCGACUUCUUUCUGACAUCCGGGAGUAAGGGACAGGCAACUAGGAAUCCCUUUUCAUGUGGCUGGCCCCUGGCUGAUAGUGCUGCUCGAUUUCAUUUCCAAGAAGAAAGGGAGAGUUCUCUCUUUGCCCAGAGACUCAAGUCUUAAAGAUUCAUUGCUGCUAUGGGAGGGGCCACGCCUCUAUCUUUCACUCUCGACCCUUUCCCCUGCAGCAUAACUAAAUAGAAGCUCUGGAAAGACGGAUUCGAAAAGUUCUGGGGUCUGGAUUAACUGCUGUUUAUUGGCUGACACCCUAGCAAGAGGCUGGGGGAGGAGUAGGAGGAGGUUGGGCAGAAUGUAUGCUAUGAUUGAAUUGCAC